Molecule: ribosomal RNA, 253 nt
Filed under: uncultured bacterium
Lineage: Bacteria
Description: partial 16S ribosomal RNA
Rfam family: Bacterial small subunit ribosomal RNA
Source: RNAcentral
UACGUAGGGUGCAAGCGUUAAUCGGAAUUACUGGGCGUAAAGCGUGCGCAGGCGGUUUUGUAAGUCUGUCGUGAAAUCCCCGGGCUCAACCUGGGAAUUGCGAUGGAGACUGCAAGGCUGGAGUCUGGCAGAGGGGGGUAGAAUUCCACGUGUAGCAGUGAAAUGCGUAGAGAUUGGGAAGAACACCAGCGGCGAAAGCGUGCUACUGGGUCUGCACUGACACUGAGGGACGAAAGCUAGGGGAGCGAAAGGG